Microcebus murinus (gray mouse lemur) is the source of this 411-nucleotide non-coding RNA. The record is from RefSeq and is a predicted model, not a curated record. Lineage: Eukaryota; Metazoa; Chordata; Mammalia; Primates; Cheirogaleidae.
UCGCAUUCAUCAGCGGUUUGUGACUCCAGUAAGGAGGAGAACAAUGAUUCCCCCACCCCCCCAAAAUCUUUGCCUUAUGUGAUUAAGAGUCGCACCGUGCUGGAUGCAGCCGUGUCCUUCUACUCCUGAGUCUUCACUGUAACUCUUCACUGUUUAGUGUCUCAAACCUCCAUUCAAAUGGGGUCCACCCAAGCCACUCACCCACCUUAACGUUUGCUCCAGCCUGGAUUGUCUCACUUGCCCUCAAAUCUCGGAGCUUCUAGCUGUGCCAACCCUCAGGAAGAUUUGGAUGGGAAGCAGUCUUCAUUCUGGCCGUAUACUCUGCAGCCGCACAGGACAGUGGGGCAGGAGCCAGGUCCCAGUUGAUCCUGAUGAAAAGUCUGAUAAAGAUGUUUAGCCUGAGUGGCAGGA